Molecule: ribosomal RNA, 885 nt
Filed under: uncultured Coniochaetales
Lineage: Eukaryota; Fungi; Ascomycota; Sordariomycetes; Coniochaetales
Description: SSU rRNA
Rfam family: Eukaryotic small subunit ribosomal RNA
Source: RNAcentral
CUUUCUGGUGAUUCAUAAUAACUUCUCGAAUCGCACGGCCUUGCGCCGGCGAUGGUUCAUUCAAAUUUCUGCCCUAUCAACUUUCGACGGCUGGGUCUUGGCCAGCCGUGGUGACAACGGGUAACGGAGGGUUAGGGCUCGACCCCGGAGAAGGAGCCUGAGAAACGGCUACUACAUCCAAGGAAGGCAGCAGGCGCGCAAAUUACCCAAUCCCGACUCGGGGAGGUAGUGACAAUAAAUACUGAUACAGGGCUCUUUUGGGUCUUGUAAUUGGAAUGAGUACAAUUUAAAUCCCUUAACGAGGAACAAUUGGAGGGCAAGUCUGGUGCCAGCAGCCGCGGUAAUUCCAGCUCCAAUAGCGUAUAUUAAAGUUGUUGCAGUUAAAAAGCUCGUAGUUGAACCUUGGGCCUGGCUGGCCGGUCCGCCUCACCGCGUGCACUGGUCCGGCCGGGCCUUUCCCUCUGGGGAACCGCAUGCCCUUCACUGGGUGUGUCGGGGAACCAGGACUUUUACUUUGAACAAAUUAGAUCGCUUAAAGAAGGCCUAUGCUCGAAUACAUUAGCAUGGAAUAAUAGAAUAGGACGUGUGGUUCUAUUUUGUUGGUUUCUAGGACCGCCGUAAUGAUUAAUAGGGACAGUCGGGGGCAUCAGUAUUCAAUUGUCAGAGGUGAAAUUCUUGGAUUAAUUGAAGACUAACUACUGCGAAAGCAUUUGCCAAGGAUGUUUUCAUUAAUCAGGAACGAAAGUUAGGGGAUCGAAGACGAUCAGAUACCGUCGUAGUCUUAACCAUAAACUAUGCCGACUAGGGAUCGGACGAUGUUAUAUUUUGACUCGUUCGGCACCUUACACGAAAGUAAAGUUUCUGGGUUCUGGGGGGAGUAUGGUC